This 363-nucleotide ribosomal RNA is filed under the name uncultured Pelotomaculum sp. Its description in RNAcentral is "bacterial SSU rRNA". It matches the Rfam family "Bacterial small subunit ribosomal RNA", at positions 1020 to 1382 of the family's 1533-position model. The record is from RNAcentral. Lineage: Bacteria; Bacillati; Bacillota; Clostridia; Eubacteriales; Desulfotomaculaceae.
CGGGUGACAGGGAGACAGGUGGUGCAUGGUCGUCGUCAGCUCGUGUCGUGAGAUGUUGGGUUAAGUCCCGCAACGAGCGCAACCCCUACGUUUAGUUGCUAACGCGUGAAGGCGAGCACUCUAGACGAACUGCCGUUGACAAAACGGAGGAAGGUGGGAUGACGUCAAAUCAUCAUGCCCCUUAUGUUCUGGGCUACACACGUGCUACAAUGGCCGGUACAGACGGACGCAAAGCCGCGAGGUGGAGCAAAUCCUAAAAAGCCGGUCUCAGUUCGGAUUGCAGGCUGCAAUUCGCCUGCAUGAAGUCGGAAUCGCUAGUAAUCGCAGGUCAGCAUACUGCGGUCGAAUACGUUCCCGGGCCUU